AGGCCAGAAGCUCAACUGGACGAGCAAUGCUCUCCAAAAGCAAAGGAUGCAGGUUCGAGUCCUGUCUGGCCUG
This 73-nucleotide transfer RNA is filed under the name Candidatus Eiseniibacteriota bacterium. RNAcentral's name for it is "tRNA-Trp". It matches the Rfam family "tRNA". Rfam says of the family: Transfer RNA (tRNA) molecules are approximately 80 nucleotides in length. The record is from RNAcentral. Lineage: Bacteria; Candidatus Eiseniibacteriota.